CUUGAACAAAAAGACGCGGUGGGC
RNAcentral lists this non-coding RNA (24 nucleotides) under Rattus norvegicus (Norway rat). The record is from RNAcentral. Lineage: Eukaryota; Metazoa; Chordata; Mammalia; Rodentia; Muridae.